Molecule: long non-coding RNA, 385 nt
Filed under: Struthio camelus australis
Lineage: Eukaryota; Metazoa; Chordata; Aves; Struthioniformes; Struthionidae
Description: lncRNA (ENSSCUG00000004197.1)
Source: RNAcentral
AUGUCUGUAUUACAGUGCUUGCAAGAGCCUAAGAAAAGAGCACGAAACUUGGAGGGUGGAUCAUCUGUCUCCUGUCCACAGCUAUGCUGCUAUGACGUGGCCAUGGACAAGUCAUUUCACCUUUCUGAGACUUUCUUCUCAUUGACCUGUCCUACCUACGAGGGUAACGGCAGGAGCAGAGCGGAGCUGGCCUGGCGUGCUGCUGCGGGAGCCUCUUCUCCUCUAGAUGGCACCGGCUGCCUGCUUGCGGAAACGCCUCGCUUGGACGUCAGCUGCCCAAAGGGUUUGUAAUGUCCUGUGCUCCUGUUAGCAACAUCCUAGUAACGAUCCAUGUAGGCACCCCUGUGCCAAAAUGCCUUGUCUAGGUGGGCCACCGCUACAAGAG